Molecule: ribosomal RNA, 439 nt
Filed under: uncultured bacterium
Lineage: Bacteria
Description: partial 16S ribosomal RNA
Rfam family: Bacterial small subunit ribosomal RNA
Source: RNAcentral
CCUACGGGAGGCUGCAGUGGGGAAUAUUGCACAAUGGGGGAAACCCUGAUGCAGCAACGCCGCGUGGGGGAAGAAGUAUCUCGGUAUGUAAAGCCCUAUCAGCAGGGAAGAGAAUGACGGUACCUGACUAAGAAGCCCCGGCUAACUACGUGCCAGCAGCCGCGGAAUACGUAGGGGGCGAGCGGUAUACGGAGUUACUGGGUGUAAAGGGAGGGUAGACGGUUGUGCAAGUCUGCAGUGAAAGCCCGCGGCUCAAAUGCGGAACGGCUGGUGAAACUGGGUAACUGGAGUGCUGGAGAGGUAGGCGGAAUGCGUGGUGUAGCGGUGAAAUGCGUAGAGAUCAGGAGGAACACCGGCGGCGAAGGCGGCUUACUGGACAGUAACUGACGUUGAGGCUCGAAAGCGUGGGGAGCAAACAGGAUUAGAUACCCGUGUAGUC